Physcomitrium patens is the source of this 1400-nucleotide non-coding RNA. Lineage: Eukaryota; Viridiplantae; Streptophyta; Bryopsida; Funariales; Funariaceae. The record is from RefSeq and is a predicted model, not a curated record.
UGUGGCAGUACAAAGCCCUCCAACUCGAGUACAAGAUCGGUGACUCGCAUCUAGAGGCUGCUGCUGAGGAUGCAGGCCAUUAUGUGCUGUCGGAGUGAGCCUACUCAUCGCCUCUCCUUAUUGAAUUCAGAAUGGGCCAUGGAGCACUCGGAGAUUGGUCGUUUGUGUUUUAGUCGAUCUCGGACAACGCCUCGUUGCGAUCUGAGGUCGUAGUUUUGUCUGGAUUGGUGUUUGGUUUUGUGCAGAAUUUUCCCGACGCAACAGUCCACAAGCUUCGAUGGCCUCAUCGAUAAGCAGAUCACUCCACUGGAAUUGACAGAAGAAGAGGAUGCGGCUAUUCGCAAGAUUGGCCUCCAAUUUGCCAAAUCUCUCCUGAAAAAAAGGACACAUGACGGUAGUCAGCAGUGGAUUAAGUUCGUUCCGUCACCUGCCGGAGGUCCCACUGGAUAGUACCAAUUCACCCCAAAUCAAACGUUCGUCCUGCACCCUCAACAGGGCAAGCCUCGUCCCUUCGUCAUCAAAUCCGUUGCUAAGUUCGACACAAAUGGUGGCCCAUAUGCAAUCCCCAGCUCCAAGUACAAUACUGACUACGAGGAGAUCGCAAUCGUUGGCAACUCGAACUCGUCGUCAUUCACAGAUUUUUUCAAGGAGACGGCAAAGUUUUGGGAGGCCGGCGCAAAUACAUCGACCGUAAACGUUCGUCCUGUUCUGUUGACGACAUCUUUGCAUCCUCUGAGCUUGCAGUCAAGGAGACUCCAGCCACCAGCCGAUUGUUUUCACUCCUUUCCUUCGAACCCCCCCACACCCAGAGUAUCCGAGUACACACUCGACUGCUGCAGGAUCCUGGGCGAAAGUGCUCGCCAGAUACUUGAGCGUCGGCAUCUCUCAACACAUUUCCUCCUAUUCUGUCGCUACUGAGGGGUAUCCGCUGCCAUUACGCACUUACAAUACGCUUGAAGCAGCUGCGGUGGAAGUUGGAGUGAGUAGAAUCUAUGGAGGAGUCCAUUUUCGAAAAGCUGUCGAAGACGGCAUAAAACUGGGAGUCGAUAUUGGCGACUACGUGUGGGAUCACUUCGAGAAAGAAUUUGGUGAUUUGUAAUCGCCAAGCUCUAUGAAUGACAUUGCCUAGUGGCGGACCCCCUAAAAGAGUAUCUUCGCUGUGCUCUUCGCUGUGCUACUAUCUUCAAGCCUUGUCAUUGUUGUUUCCAACAAUAUUACCAAUUUGAAUGCUGCAACGUCUCGGUGUCGUUGAUGUUACCCAACUUCUCACUGCAAGUGCCUGAUCGGCACCUCACCACCAGAACAUGAGGUUUGCAGUUUGCAAAGCUGGUGUCACCCGGUCUUCACAAGUGCAGAUGAAUUCGUGUUCUACGUCGACACAAGCAAGCAGUAAAAAGCGU